This 28-nucleotide non-coding RNA is filed under the name Rattus norvegicus (Norway rat). The record is from RNAcentral. Lineage: Eukaryota; Metazoa; Chordata; Mammalia; Rodentia; Muridae.
AGGAAGCCAAGAAACUGAGAGACAUAAG